GGAGAGGUGACAGAGCGGCCGAUCGUGCCUGUCUCGAAAACAGGUGUACCGUAAGGUACCGAGGGUUCGAAUCCCUCCCUCUCCGCCA
Molecule: transfer RNA, 88 nt
Filed under: Puniceicoccales bacterium
Lineage: Bacteria; Pseudomonadati; Verrucomicrobiota; Opitutia; Puniceicoccales
Description: tRNA-Ser
Rfam family: tRNA
About the family: Transfer RNA (tRNA) molecules are approximately 80 nucleotides in length. Their secondary structure includes four short double-helical elements and three loops (D, anti-codon, and T loops). Further hydrogen bonds mediate the characteristic L-shaped molecular structure. tRNAs have two regions of fundamental functional importance: the anti-codon, which is responsible for specific mRNA codon recognition, and the 3' end, to which the tRNAs corresponding amino acid is attached (by aminoacyl-tRNA synthetases). tRNAs cope with the degeneracy of the genetic code in two manners: having more than one tRNA (with a specific anti-codon) for a particular amino acid; and 'wobble' base-pairing, i.e. permitting non-standard base-pairing at the 3rd anti-codon position.
Source: RNAcentral